AAAAUCCGAUAACCUUGGCAACAUCAAGCGAUUCAAGUCUCGACUGAUUGCAAGAGCUAUAUUCGGCGUUACGGGAUUAAUUAUUUUGAGAUUUUUUCACCAGUAGCAAAAUACUCGUCAAUCCGACUAGUGAUGGACGUGUCAACAGCUUACCUCAACAGCGAAUCCAAUGAACACAUGUAUAUGAAUUAAGCUUUUAAGAUAUAUUUUGUUAAGAACAAUUUAUUAAGGUUAGCUCGAAGGCUUGAUUAGAAAUAAAAUUUACAAUGUUGAAAUAAUCUAAAUAAAUCUAAGUCGACGCUGCA
This is a long non-coding RNA of Drosophila sulfurigaster albostrigata, 305 nucleotides long. RefSeq lists it as uncharacterized. The transcript is spliced from 2 exons. NCBI's taxonomy places the organism in Eukaryota, Metazoa, Arthropoda, Insecta, Diptera, Drosophilidae. The record is from RefSeq and is a predicted model, not a curated record.